RNAcentral lists this ribosomal RNA (439 nucleotides) under uncultured bacterium. RNAcentral's name for it is "bacterial SSU rRNA". It matches the Rfam family "Bacterial small subunit ribosomal RNA", at positions 338 to 795 of the family's 1533-position model. The record is from RNAcentral.
CCUACGGGAGGCAGCAGUGGGGAAUAUUGCGCAAUGGGCGAAAGCCUGACGCAGCGACGCCGCGUGAGCGACGAAGUCCUUCGGGAUGUAAAGCUCUGUCGAGUGGGAAGAUAAUGACGGUACCACUGGAGGAAGCCCCGGCUAACUACGUGCCAGCAGCCGCGGUAAUACGUAGGGGGCGAGCGUUAUCCGGAUUUAUUGGGCAUAAAGAGCGUGUAGGUUGUAUUUUAAGUCAGAUGUUAAAUCCCCCAGCUCAACUGGGGUUCGCAUUUGAUACUGGGAUACUAGAGAUUGGGAGAGGAAAGCGGAACUCACGGUGUAGCGGUGAAAUGCGUAGAUAUCGUGAGGAACACCAGUUGCGAAGGCGGCUUUCUGGACCAAAUCUGACACUCAAGCGCGAAAGCGUGGGGAGCAAACGGGAUUAGAUACCCGAGUAGUC